RNAcentral lists this long non-coding RNA (510 nucleotides) under Marmota monax (woodchuck). Lineage: Eukaryota; Metazoa; Chordata; Mammalia; Rodentia; Sciuridae. The record is from RNAcentral.
GAGCAUCAUACAUAAUUGGAAAGACUGGAAAGCAAGGAUGUCCACUUUCAGAACUCCUUGUCAUCAUCAUUGUGCUGGAAUGAUUAGUAUAAAGAAAUAAAAGACAUAAGAUUGGAAAAAAGUAAAAUGAUUAAUCUCACAUGGAAUGAUUAUGCAGAAAAUCCUAAGAAAUGUAUAGAAAAGUCAACCUACAGAAAUCUGUUUAUCUUAUUUCUAUGUGAUGGCAGUCAACAUUUAGAAAUUGAAAUUUAAAUCAAUAUCACUUAGAAUAGCAUCAAAACAUGAAGUGAGCUGAGCACUGUGGUGCACACCUGUAAUCCCAGCGACUCAGGAAGCUGAAACUGGAGGAUCCCAAGUUCAAAGCCAGAUUCUGCAACUUAGCAAGACCCUGUCUCUAAAUAAAAUAUAAAAAGGUCUGGGGAUGUGGCUCAGUGGUUAAGCACCUCUAGGUUCAAUCCCUGGUACAAAAAAAAAAAAAACAAACAAACAUGAAAUGGGGCUGGGGUUGAG